RNAcentral lists this ribosomal RNA (427 nucleotides) under uncultured bacterium. Its description in RNAcentral is "partial 16S ribosomal RNA". It matches the Rfam family "Bacterial small subunit ribosomal RNA", at positions 355 to 774 of the family's 1533-position model. The record is from RNAcentral.
UAGGGAAUCUUCGGCAAUGGGGGGAACCCUGACCGAGCAACGCCGCGUGAGUGAAGAAGGUUUUCGGAUCGUAAAGCUCUGUUGUAAGAGAAGAACGGGUGUGAGAGUGGAAAGUUCACACUGUGACGGUAUCUUACCAGAAAGGGACGGCUAACUACGUGCCAGCAGCCGCGGUAAUACGUAGGUCCCGAGCGUUGUCCGGAUUUAUUGGGCGUAAAGCGAGCGCAGGCGGUUAGAUAAGUCUGAAGUUAAAGGCUGUGGCUUAACCAUAGUAUGCUUUGGAAACUGUUUAACUUGAGUGCAGAAGGGGAGAGUGGAAUUCCAUGUGUAGCGGUGAAAUGCGUAGAUAUAUGGAGGAACACCGGUGGCGAAAGCGGCUCUGUGGUCUGUAACUGACGCUGAGGCUCGAAAGCGUGGGGAGCAAACA